AGCUUUGCGCAGUGGCAGUAUCGUAGCCAAUGAGGUUUAUCCGAGGCGCGAUUAUUGCUAAUUGAAAAAUGACAAGCUUUAACUGGCUAAGUUAACUAACUUAGUUUGCUCUACAGAGCUGACUCUGUAUUUGCUAACCCCACUCAGGU
This 149-nucleotide small nuclear RNA is filed under the name Tupaia belangeri (northern tree shrew). RNAcentral describes it as "U4 spliceosomal RNA (ENSTBEG00000019075.1)". The stretch from base 1 to 119 matches the Rfam family "U4 spliceosomal RNA". Rfam says of the family: U4 small nuclear RNA (U4 snRNA) is a component of the major U2-dependent spliceosome. The structure of U4 snRNA from yeast and human has been reported. The record is from RNAcentral. Lineage: Eukaryota; Metazoa; Chordata; Mammalia; Scandentia; Tupaiidae.